GGAGAGGUGCUAGAGCGGUUUAAUAGAACAGUCUUGAAAACUGUCGUCGAUGCAAGUCGACCGUGGGUUCGAAUCCCACCCUCUCCGCCA
RNAcentral lists this transfer RNA (90 nucleotides) under Parcubacteria group bacterium ADurb.Bin316. RNAcentral describes it as "tRNA-Ser". It matches the Rfam family "tRNA". From Rfam's summary of the family: Transfer RNA (tRNA) molecules are approximately 80 nucleotides in length. Their secondary structure includes four short double-helical elements and three loops (D, anti-codon, and T loops). The record is from RNAcentral.